This is a microRNA precursor of Eutrema salsugineum, 137 nucleotides long. It matches the Rfam family "mir-393 microRNA precursor family". Lineage: Eukaryota; Viridiplantae; Streptophyta; Magnoliopsida; Brassicales; Brassicaceae. The record is from Rfam.
AGAGGAUGGAUCCAAAGGGAUCGCAUUGAUCCUAAGUAAGAUGAAUUCUCCUCAUUCUUUUCUUAAUCAUUCGCAAAAAAAAAAGUCCCAAAAAUUUGCUUGGUUUUGGAUCAUGCUAUCCCUUUGGAUUCUUCCUU